CGUGUAGGCGGACGUGUAAGUCUAUUCUGAAAGCUCCUGGCUAAACUGGGAGAGGCGAAUGGAGACUGCAUAUCUAGAGUGAGGAAGAGGAAAGUGGAAUUCCGCGUGUAGUGGUGAAAUGCGUAGAGAUGCGGAGGAACACCAGUGGCGAAAGCGACUUUCUGGUCCUUAACUGACGCUGAGGCGCGAAAGCAUGGGGAGCGAACGGGAUUAGAAACCCCGGUAGUCCAUGCCAUAAACGAUGUUCACUAAACGUUCGUAUUCCGCGAGGAAUGUGGGUGUUGAAGCUAACGCAGUAAGUGAACCGCCUGGGGAGUACGGUCGCAAGGCUAAA
RNAcentral lists this ribosomal RNA (334 nucleotides) under uncultured bacterium. Its description in RNAcentral is "bacterial SSU rRNA". It matches the Rfam family "Bacterial small subunit ribosomal RNA", at positions 568 to 898 of the family's 1533-position model. The record is from RNAcentral.